This 253-nucleotide ribosomal RNA is filed under the name uncultured bacterium. RNAcentral describes it as "partial 16S ribosomal RNA". It matches the Rfam family "Bacterial small subunit ribosomal RNA", at positions 524 to 776 of the family's 1533-position model. The record is from RNAcentral.
GACAGAGGGGGCAAGCGUUGCUCGGAAUUACUGGGCGUAAAGCGCGCGUAGGCGGCUUUGUAAGUUAGAGGUGAAAGCCCGGGGCUCAACCCCGGAACUGCCUUUAAGACUGCAUCGCUUGAAUCCGGGAGAGGUGAGUGGAAUUCCGAGUGUAGAGGUGAAAUUCGUAGAUAUUCGGAAGAACACCAGUGGCGAAGGCGGCUCACUGGACCGGUAUUGACGCUGAUGUGCGAAAGCGUGGGGAGCAAACAGG